CCCUUAGAUGUUCUGGGCCGCACGCGCGCUACACUGACGGAGUCAACGAGUUGUCCUGCAUCGGAAGGUGUGGGUAAUCUUUUGAAACUUCGUCGUGCUGGGGAUAGAUCUUUGCAAUUUUCGAUCUUGAACGAGGAAUUCCUAGUAAGCGUAAUUCAUCAGAUCGCGUUGAUUACGUCCCUGCCCUUUGUACACACCGCCCGUCGCUACUACCGAUUGAAUGGUUUAGUGAGGCCUCGGGACUGGCGCGCUCGAGUAGCAAUACACCUGCGCGCCGGGAACUUGGUCAAACUUGAUCAUUUAGAGGAAGUAAAAGUCGUAACA
This 324-nucleotide ribosomal RNA is filed under the name uncultured eukaryote. RNAcentral's name for it is "partial 18S ribosomal RNA". It matches the Rfam family "Eukaryotic small subunit ribosomal RNA", at positions 1470 to 1796 of the family's 1831-position model. The record is from RNAcentral.